Tetranychus urticae (two-spotted spider mite) is the source of this 2738-nucleotide non-coding RNA. The record is from RefSeq and is a predicted model, not a curated record. Lineage: Eukaryota; Metazoa; Arthropoda; Arachnida; Trombidiformes; Tetranychidae.
CUUGAGAUGGUGAGCAAGUCAUUGUUGGUUUUUAAAUGUAUUGGUAAAAUUUCAGUUUCAAUGUUUUGGCAUACAAAUUAUUUUUAAUUGUAAAUGUAAUCAUCUAUCGUCAAGUAAGUAUUAUACAAUUGUUUAUUAGAUUUAUAGAUGGUUAAAUAUUACUGUUAAAUUGAUUUACAAGCGUUAGUUCUCUUUCAUUCUAUGUUGUAUCUCUGUUUAACCUGCCUUCAACUUUUUUCCCCUCUGUCUGUUUAUCUGUCUGCUACUAAUAGAGCUUGUUUUGUAAGCUAUAAUUUGGCGUCCAAAUGAUUUUUGUUUGUGUUUUUCUAAACAACGAGCAUUCGCAAAUGGUGUUAUCCCUCACUCAGGCUGUUCUGUAAACGAGCUGAAUUUUCAUCUUUUAUGUUUAAAAUGUUAGAUGAGUAAACUUCUUUCUCAGAAUGGAUACAAUAUCGGAACGACUGUAAAUUUUGUACAAGAAAAUUUGAAAAAGAAAUAAUUGGAUCGGGCGACUAACCAGAUGACAGAAUAUUUAAGUCACAGAAACUGAUGACAGACCAUGAAAUACGAUGGAAAUAAUUGUUUAUUUCUUAUUGAGGUUAACUAACGUCUAAUGUAUUGAUUUAAACAAUCACCAAAUAAAUGACUGACUGACCAUUCUGAGAUGGCUAAACAUAGCGGGAAAUUACUUGGUCUUUUUGAUCUACACGAGCGCUAGGUCGUUUAAACAUACACCGUAUAAACAUAUUGCUCUGUACAAGAACCUUUGUUCCAAGAUCAUUUCUCAUGGAUGACAGUCAAAAAAGAGCUCCACCAAAGAACUAAGAUACUGAUCUUCACCUUCUGUUUUUCGUCUCAUCAUCAUAUUCUUGCAUAUAUUUUCACUUUACUCAGUUUUGUUUGCCACCGAUCAAUUCUGACAGUUGAUGGGUUAUUUUGGCUUAUAAUAGGAUUGAUUAGUAUUAUGCCUAUCUGUUGCGCCUGGAUCAUUUAUUGCUUCAUCAACUCAAUUUCAAACAGCUAUGUGGUAAAGAUUUAACUGAAUGGAAAAAAAUUGAACCAAGAUCAAUUAUCAGUUGGGACAACUGUCUGAAUCAAUCAUCUAUGGAUUUAUAUCUACAACUUUAUCUAUGGCUGUGUAAUUAAAACAAAUAGUCUUUCGUCAUGUCUGGUUUCAUUGGAUGUGAUAUUGGUUCUCGCUUUUUGCGCUCAAUCUGAAGAAAAGCCUUGUGUAUUAUGAUUGCCAGUUGCUCUCUGUUAACAGUUCAUGGAUAAGAAAGAGCUGCUGUUGUUUUAUUUUUGGGUUAAACAUAAACUUAUUCAGGAAGACUUUUUUUCUCGCCAGAAGAGUUAUAAAUGGAUCGACUCAAUGUUUUUCUUUCCCAUUAUAAUGGCUUCAAGAGGAUAAAGGAAAGAUAGUGAUACCCACCCCCGACUUUAAACUAAAAGUAAAGGAGUAUGAUGCUGAAAGAUGCAAACUUUUGUUGAUUUAUCUUUUAUGACAAGUCUAACAACGAAAAGCAGUUGACUUUGACGAUAAACAUACGCAAGUUCUUUCCGUUAACCCGCUAAUUCUCCAGCCUCAUCCUUUUUGUUUUCACAAUUUGCCAAAAUUUGGCUCUGAAUGUGUUUUAGUUUAACCCUGUUCCAAUUCAUGGUCAGGUGUUACUUGAUAAGGACCACUUCCAAUGAAAGUGAAAAACAGCAUAACAACUGUAGUAACGGUUCUACUUUGAAAGAUUGGGACAAAUCUUUCUUGACCUGAUCUGACAUCUUGAAAAAAUAUUGGCAAUGACUCGGUUGCUGCAAUGUAUUGAAAGCUUGCACUCUAAGAUUGAAAAGUGAAGAAGAGUAACUGAGGUAAUCCAAUAUUCAUCUGAAACAAUUUUAAACCAUGACAAUAGUUACAUUUAAUCACCUGAUGCUAAAUAGGCAAUUAGCAACAUUACCAAUAUACAUAUUAACAGUAUUAUUACCACUGAAAAACCAUAACUUUAAGAAUAAUGUUAAGCUUAUUUCCUUCUUCAUUUAUCCAGUAAUACUCAAAUUAUAGCUUAACGCUUGUUUUCUGGAUAUUUUUCUGGUUUUGCUUCAUUUUUCUGUUAAUUUUUUGAUCUCAAUCCAAUUCUCUGUUUAUAUUAAUUUGUUCCUCUUUUUCGCCCACUACAAAAACAAUGCUGAAUCUUUCACAAUUUUGCUUACGCUAACUUUUUCCUCGUUUACUUUUGCUUGAUAUCUCUAGGUAAUGAAUAAAUGGAUCCAGUUAAUGGUCAAGCAAAGUAAUCAACAAUAGCUGAACAUAUCGAAUAAAUUCAAGGUUUGGUGCAAAAGAUUCGACAUACAAUUAUCUGCAAUCUUUUUUACAAGCAAUAGAAGAAAAAACAAGUGUAAAUGAUUUUACUCAAUUACUGUCAUAUAAUCAGCUUUGGUAAUUAACUGGUAACAAUAUACAUUGGCAGCUUAAGCUUUUCAUAAAUCUGCGUGAAUAUAAAUGGCAAUUUGACUGCCUCACAUAACAAAUGUCAUUAGUAACAGAGUAUCAAUCAAAAGCAAAUUAGACAAAACAAUGAGGUGGCGAAGUUAGACUUACAUGAGUUAGAAAAACGACUUGAAAUACUAAAUUUUAAACAUCAAAUUGUUUCUUGGUUUAUUGGUGUAUCAAUAGAAUUCUGAUAUAAGAUUCGUUAUCGUCAACUUGAAAAUUAUCAAAACCGUUGGAAUAAUUUUGAACAAUUGAU